CGGGGCCGGGAGGAGUCGCCGCCGGGUCCCUGCGCCGCGGGCGAGCCCAGACGCAGCUGCAGCCGAGAGAGGCGCCGCCCGCCCCGUCCAGCCGCUCCGCGCAGGCGCUGUUAAGUCAGCUCUGCUGUGUGAGGUGGGCCACCUCCCCCCAGCUUGCUGCUCGGCACGGAAGAUCAAGCCAGGAGUCCCUCCCCUGCCCCCCUCAAGUUCCUCACUCCAUCCGUAACCUUCCUUUGUAGAGCCCUUACUC
RNAcentral lists this long non-coding RNA (250 nucleotides) under Felis catus (domestic cat). RNAcentral describes it as "lncRNA (ENSFCAG00000052209.1)". The record is from RNAcentral. Lineage: Eukaryota; Metazoa; Chordata; Mammalia; Carnivora; Felidae.